Molecule: long non-coding RNA, 829 nt
Organism: Humulus lupulus (European hop)
Lineage: Eukaryota; Viridiplantae; Streptophyta; Magnoliopsida; Rosales; Cannabaceae
Exons: 4
Source: RefSeq, a predicted model, not a curated record
UAAAUUGAUUGGAACUUGUAUUUCUUUUCUUUGAUUGCUUUUUUUAUUUUUUAUAAUCCAAUAAAAGUCAAGGAAUUCUUUGUAUUGUAGCUUUACAAGAUACUGAAAGAGCACAAGAAUCCCAAGGUUCUUAGCGAGGGGCUACUGUGGAUGGUUUCAGUAGUGGAAGAUUUUGGCAUCUCACAUUUGAAACUUAAGGUUUGAAGUUAUAUUUGGGCCCUUGUUUUUUUGCUUUGUCUAACUGUUAGUUAAUAAUUACCAUAUUCAGCUAUUAAAGGAAUUGAUAUAUUUUGUUUUACAUGAUUUAAUUGAUUUUUGUAAAGAUACUGGACUGCAGUCAAGUGCAGCUGCUACUAGAAAUUCUUCCAUCAAGCUUUUGGGUGUUUUGCAUAAAUUUGUUGGCCCAGAUAUUAAAGGGUUUCUUUCUGAUGUUAAACCUGCACUUCUUAGUGCACUGGAUACAGAGUAUGAGAAGAAUCCAUUUGAGGGUGCAGCAGCAGCUCCAAAGAGAACUAUUAAAUCAGCAGAACCUAUAUCUGCAUCUUCUGGUGGACUAGAUGGCCUGCCACGGGAAGAUAUUAGUGGGAAGAUUACACGUACCCUGCUUAAAGGCUUAGAAAGUACUGAUUGGAAGGCUCGCUUGGAGUCAAUUGAAGCUGUGAAUAAAGUUUUGGAAGAGGCUAACAAGCGCGUCCAACCCAAUGGAACUGGUACAUUCUAUCAUGUGUUUAAAUUCUCUCUCCCUCUAUUGUUAUUAUUUAUUAUUGUACAUGCUAUUCAGCCUCCUUUAUAUCCUCCCAUUUGUUAAUUAUUGUUUAAUGUUUAUUUU